CGGGGGAGGCCGGAUCCUGGGCUGUGUCCCGGCGCCCUGUGCUCCGGAGCCUGCGCUGUUGGAUUCGAGCUCCCGGGCCGCGCAGCCCCCU
Molecule: non-coding RNA, 91 nt
Organism: Canis lupus familiaris (dog)
Lineage: Eukaryota; Metazoa; Chordata; Mammalia; Carnivora; Canidae
Source: Rfam